Molecule: ribosomal RNA, 460 nt
Filed under: uncultured bacterium
Lineage: Bacteria
Description: partial 16S ribosomal RNA
Rfam family: Bacterial small subunit ribosomal RNA
Source: RNAcentral
CCUACGGGAGGCAGCAGUGAGGAAUAUUGGUCAAUGGACGAGAGUCUGAACCAGCCAAGUAGCGUGAAGGAUGACUGCCCUAUGGGUUGUAAACUUCUUUUAUAUGGGAAUAAAAUGUUCCACGUGUGGGAUUUUGUAUGUACCAUAUGAAUAAGGAUCGGCUAACUCCGUGCCAGCAGCCGCGGUAAUCCGGAGGAUCCGAGCGUUAUCCGGAUUUAUUGGGUUUAAAGGGAGCGUAGACGGAUUGUUAAGUCAGUUGUGAAAGUUUGCGGCUCAACCGUAAAAUUGCAGUUGAAACUGGCAGUCUUGAGUACAGUAGAGGUGGGCGGAAUUCGUGGUGUAGCGGUGAAAUGCUUAGAUAUCACGAAGAACUCCGAUUGCGAAGGCAGUUCACUGGACUGCAACUGACACUGAGGCUCGAAAGUGUGGGUAUCAAACAGGAUUAGAUACCCGGGUAGUC